CUCCACGGGGUUAGCGAUGACCCGCCGGGCGCCAUCUGGUCGCCAUAGCCCGGCGGUGAGCAGAGGCGAAACCGGACCCGUCUCG
RNAcentral lists this non-coding RNA (85 nucleotides) under Blastococcus sp. RNAcentral's name for it is "c-di-GMP sequence". It matches the Rfam family "c-di-GMP-II-GAG riboswitch aptamer". RNAcentral also lists the same sequence under 1 other name. Lineage: Bacteria; Bacillati; Actinomycetota; Actinomycetes; Geodermatophilales; Geodermatophilaceae. The record is from RNAcentral.